This 259-nucleotide ribosomal RNA is filed under the name uncultured bacterium. Its description in RNAcentral is "partial 16S ribosomal RNA". It matches the Rfam family "Bacterial small subunit ribosomal RNA", at positions 98 to 354 of the family's 1533-position model. The record is from RNAcentral.
CGGGACUGGUGAGUAACGCGUGAGGAACCUGCCUUCCAGAGGGGGACAACAGUUAGAAAUGACUGCUAAUACCGCAUAAGCGCACUAAAACCGCAUGGGUUUGGUGUGUAAAAACUGAGGUGGUAUGAGAUGGACCCGCGUCUGAUUAGCUAGUUGGAGAGGUAACGGCUCACCAAGGCAACGAUCAGUAGCCGACCUGAGAGGGUGACCGGCCACAUUGGGACUGAGACACGGCCCAAACUCCUACGGAAGGCAGCAG